Dreissena polymorpha is the source of this 1077-nucleotide long non-coding RNA. RefSeq lists it as uncharacterized. The record is from RefSeq and is a predicted model, not a curated record. The transcript has 2 exons. Lineage: Eukaryota; Metazoa; Mollusca; Bivalvia; Myida; Dreissenidae.
UAAGAGACGUUACAAUCUUUUUCUUAUCUUAUGCUGGUUUUUUAGGAUAAGUGAAAUUUUGUCUGUUAAAAGAUCAGAUGUUGUAUUUUUAGAUACGCAUUGUGAUAUUAAAGUUGAAAAGUCAAAAACGGACAUUUUAAGAGAGAGUAAUACUGUUCUGAUUGCAAAAACUAAUACAGACACAUCUGUGAAAUUGUUUGAAAAGUAUUUGUGUGUUGCAGAUAUUGCAUGUUCAUCUACUGAUUAUGUGUUUAGACCAGUUUAUUUGUGUAAUGUUAAACACUGUUUCAAAUUGAUUUCUAAUAAUAAGCAUAUAAGUUAUUCUACUAUAAAUGAUAGUUUUAAGAAGAAGUUAAGUCUAUUGGGUUAUGUUUCUUCUAAAUAUGAACUUCAUUCUUUUCGUGCUGGUGGAGCAUCUAUAAGUGCCAAUAAUAAGACUGUGGAUAGACUUUGGCAAAGACAUGGUAGAUGAAAAAGUGUUUCCACUAAGAACGGAUAUGUUAAAGAUUCUUUGAAAGACAGAUUAUCGGUGUCGCUAAAUUUAGAUUUGUGAAAAGUCAUUAUUAAUGUAUGUGUAAUUUGAAAUGUAUGAUGUGUUGUUCGUAGCACAUUUAAAGACACUAUAAUAUAUUAUUAUAUAAAUAAUUUGGAAAUGCUUUUGAGUAUUAUUAAGUUCUGUGUUUGUGUUGUGUGUAUGUUCCUUGUGGUCAUUGGACCAAUUUGUUUACGGCCAUUUGGCCUCAUUUGGUAAGCCAGUUGGCUUGUAUGGUCAGUUGACCGUUUUUAAAGCAAGUUGAUCUGAUGUGUGAAAGCCGGUUGGCUUUUGUGAGUUGACCUUAUUUUCUUAAAAAGCAUGUUCACAUGGAAUUAACAAUCUUUGCAAGUUUAUUUUUUGCAGUGCAGUAACUGGACAGUACGAAUGGUAUAUUAAGUAUUGGAGAACAUAAAGUUAAAACACAGUUCGAGAGGUAUAUAACGUGGUGGAGAAUAUUUGGGUAUUCAUUUUAUGUUUCAUAUUAUUUGUAUUCUCUCUUUGUUUUAUUCGAAAGUCCUGUCAAAUACAAGCACUCACUCCUA